Molecule: ribosomal RNA, 429 nt
Filed under: Actinomycetes bacterium
Lineage: Bacteria; Bacillati; Actinomycetota; Actinomycetes
Description: Actinobacteria bacterium partial 16S ribosomal RNA
Rfam family: Bacterial small subunit ribosomal RNA
Source: RNAcentral
UAGGGAAUCUUCCGCAAUGGGCGAAAGCCUGACGGAGCAACGCCGCGUGAGUGAUGAAGGUCUUCGGAUCGUAAAACUCUGUUAUUAGGGAAGAACAAAUGUGUAAGUAACUAUGCACGUCUUGACGGUACCUAAUCAGAAAGCCACGGCUAACUACGUGCCAGCAGCCGCGGUAAUCCGUAGGUGGCAAGCGUUAUCCGGAAUUAUUGGGCGUAAAGCGCGCGUAGGCGGUUUUUUAAGUCUGAUGUGAAAGCCCACGGCUCAACCGUGGAGGGUCAGUGGAAACUGGAAAACUUGAGUGCAGAAGAGGAAAGUGGAAUUCCAUGUGUAGCGAUGAAAUGCGCAGAGAUAUGGAGGAACACCAGUGGCGAAGGCGACUUUCUGGUCUGUAACUGACGCUGAUGUGCGAAAGCGUGGGGAUCAAACAGG